AACGAACGCUGGCGGCAUGCCUAACACAUGCAAGUCGAACGAGACCUUCGGGUCUAGUGGCGCACGGGUGCGUAACGCGUGGGAACCUGCCCUUAGGUUCGGCAUAACUCCCCGAAAGGGGUGCUAAUACCGGAUAAUGUCUUCGGACCAAAGAUUUAUCGCCUUUGGAUGGGCCCGCGUUGGAUUCGCUAGUUGGUAGGGUAAAAGCCUACCAAGGCGACGAUCCAUAGCUGGUCUGAGAGGAUGAUCAGCCACACUGGGACUAAGACACGGCCCAGACUCCUACGGGAGGCAGCAGUGGGGAAUAUUGGACAAUGGGCGAAAGCCUGAUCCAGCAAUGCCGCGUGAGUGAUGAAGGCCUUAGGGUUGUAAAGCUCUUUUACCCGGGAUGAUAAUGACAGUACCGGGAGAAUAAGCUCCGGCUAACUCCGUG
RNAcentral lists this ribosomal RNA (433 nucleotides) under uncultured bacterium. RNAcentral's name for it is "partial 16S ribosomal RNA". It matches the Rfam family "Bacterial small subunit ribosomal RNA", at positions 29 to 507 of the family's 1533-position model. The record is from RNAcentral.